This 468-nucleotide ribosomal RNA is filed under the name uncultured bacterium. Its description in RNAcentral is "partial 16S ribosomal RNA". It matches the Rfam family "Bacterial small subunit ribosomal RNA", at positions 28 to 507 of the family's 1533-position model. The record is from RNAcentral.
GACGAACGCUGGCGGCGUGCUUAACACAUGCAAGUCGAACGGAAAGGCCCUGCUUUUGUGGGGUGCUCGAGUGGCGAACGGGUGAGUAACACGUGAGUAACCUGCCCUUGACUUUGGGAUAACUUCAGGAAACUGGGGCUAAUACCGGAUAGGAGCUCCUGCUGCAUGGUGGGGGUUGGAAAGUUUCGGUGGUUGGGGAUGGACUCGCGGCUUAUCAGCUUGUUGGUGGGGUAGUGGCUUACCAAGGCUUUGACGGGUAGCCGGCCUGAGAGGGUGACCGGCCACAUUGGGACUGAGAUACGGCCCAGACUCCUACGGGAGGCAGCAGUGGGGAAUAUUGCACAGUGGGCGGAAGCCUGAUGCAGCAACGCCGCGUGCGGGAUGACGGCCUUCGGGUUGUAAACCGCUUUCGCCUGUGACGAAGCGUGAGUGACGGUAAUGGGUAAAGAAGCACCGGCUAACUACGUG